CUCUUGUAGUAAAAAAUUUGGAGACUGAGGCUGGUGACAUUGGUUCAGAGCCUGGACGAUUACCAGGGCCAGCAUUUCUGCGAUCCUCCUUACCUUUUCCUCAUGCCUCUUCACUCAUGAUCACAUUAUGGCUACUGCUGCUCUGGACCUCGGUCACAUCUGUGAUCAACGGUGGAGGAAGGUCAAAGGGAAAAGGAUGUGUCAGCGGAUUUCUUCUUACAUCUCAUUGGACAACGUUGGAGGAGGUCAUCGAGAGGAGGCGACCACUGGUUGAUCUGUGAGCUAGACCCAGGCAAUCAGAGGCUCCUCACCCCCUCCUCUGUCCUUGCAAUGAUGCAAGGAUUACAGAGAGUCCAUGUGGACAGCUCCCAGGAUUGGGAGUGCACUGGUGAGACAUUCCUGGUCCUGGGACUCAUGAUCUUGGCCCUAAUGGUCACAAAUGUGACAAGGCUACAUCUAUUGAUUCAACAAAUAUCUGUUGAAUGUCUACUAUGUGUCAGAUACUGUUCCAGGUGUUGAAGAUGAAUACCUG
RNAcentral lists this long non-coding RNA (532 nucleotides) under Equus asinus (donkey). RNAcentral's name for it is "lncRNA (ENSEASG00005036313.1)". The record is from RNAcentral. Lineage: Eukaryota; Metazoa; Chordata; Mammalia; Perissodactyla; Equidae.